Molecule: long non-coding RNA, 208 nt
Organism: Mugil cephalus (flathead mullet)
Lineage: Eukaryota; Metazoa; Chordata; Actinopteri; Mugiliformes; Mugilidae
Exons: 3
Source: RefSeq, a predicted model, not a curated record
GACAGGUCCAUGUAUUAUCCUCCAGACUUCAGUGGAGAACCUCGACCCUCAGACACAAACGGUCAGUACCACAGACAGAGAGCAGAGUCUACAGUAUCCAGCUGUCUGUCUAUGAAGAGUGACAGGUCCAUGUAUUAUCCUCCCGACUUCAGUGGAGAACCUCGACCUCAGACACAAACGGUCAGUACCACAGACAGAGAGCAGAGUC